This 729-nucleotide ribosomal RNA is filed under the name Triticum aestivum (bread wheat). Its description in RNAcentral is "partial small subunit ribosomal RNA". The record is from RNAcentral. Lineage: Eukaryota; Viridiplantae; Streptophyta; Magnoliopsida; Poales; Poaceae.
AUGGAGGCACCACAUAAGCAAUUAUGUCUAAAGAUGUGUUUCAAGGAUCAACAUCAAUUCAGAGAGGCUUUGUUGAACUUACACAUCACUCAAGGCAGAAACUUCAAAUAUCAUAGGAACUCAGAUCAAAGAAUAAUUGUACAAUGCAACCAAAAACAUUGCAACUUCUUUAUGGUGGCAGCAGUUAUAAAAGGUGAAACUACUUUUGUAAUUAAGAAGAUGAGAAUUAAGCACACUUGCCCUAUUAGUACAGAGACAACAAGGAUAAGUGCCAAGUGGCUCGCACGGAAGUAUGAGUCACUGUUCAGAUCUGAUCUAACAACUGGCAUUCAGACUUUGAUUGAUGCCUGCAUGGAGAAGUAUGGUGUGGAUGUGCCCAAGUCAAUGGCAUAUAGAGUAAAGAACCUAGCUAUUGAUGCUAUGCUAGAAGACCACAAGAAGCAAUACCCUAGGUUGAAAGACUAUGCUCAGGCAGUGAUGGAUACAAACCCUGAGAGUAGAGUAGUAGUCACUACUGUAACUCCAACACCCACUGAAAAAAUCCCCCAUCCAGGUCCAAGAUUCCAUGCUAUGUUCUAUUGCAUCAAUGGAGCAGGGAGGGGUUUCUCAAGGGGUGCAGACCAUUCAUUGCUUAGUUUGUUCACCUUGUGCAUUAGUUACAUAUUGUUUCAUCUUGAAAUGCAUUUGAAUGUUUUAAAUAUUGAAUUUUCUUGCUCAUUCAGGUGUUGA